AUGCAUGUGUAAGUAGAGUGUUAUAAAGCGAAACUGCGAACGGCUCAUUACAACAGAUAUAAUUUACUUGUUCUUUGACUUAAAUGGAUAACUGCGGUAAUUCUGGAGCCAAUACAUGCACAAAGGCUCGGCUUCGGUCGGGUUGCUAUUAUUGGAGCAAAACCAUUCGUUAGUCCUUUUGCUAACUCUGGAUAAUACUGCGUAUCGCACGGUCUCGAACCGGCGAAGUUUCUUUCAAGUAUCUGCCCUAUCAACUGUCGUUGGUAGUGUAUUGGACUACCAUGGUGCUAACGGGUAACGGAGGAUCAGGGUCUGACUCCGGAGAGGGAGCCUUAGAAACGGCUACCAUGUCUAAGGAUAGCAGCAGGCGCGAAAAUUACCCAAUAUCAAUACGAUGAGGUAGUGACGAGAAAUAACGAGACCGUUCUCUAUGAGGUCGGUCAUUGGAAUGGGUACAAUCUAGACAAUUUAACGAGUACCUAAGAUAGGGCAAGUCUGGUGCCAGCAGCCGCGGUAACUCCAGCUAUCUUAGUCUAUAGAAUUAUUGUUGCGGUUAAAAAGUUCGUAGUUGGAUUGUUAAACUAGCUCGGGUCCACCUUAACGGGUGCGUACUCGUGGCUAGUAUUUUACGUGUUUGUAUGGAGUGACUUCGGUUGCUUUCAUGCUGCACGUAGGAUUACUUUGAACGGCUUAAGUGCUCAAAGCGAGUCUUCGGACUGAAUACCGGUGCAUGGAAUAAUGGAACAAGGUUGCGGCCGAGUUUUAUUGGUUUUGUCGGCUGAAACAAUGGUUAACAGGAACAGCCGGGGGCAUUCGUAUCGCUGCGC
This 827-nucleotide ribosomal RNA is filed under the name Laimaphelenchus sp. 1 YS-2019. RNAcentral describes it as "SSU rRNA". It matches the Rfam family "Eukaryotic small subunit ribosomal RNA", at positions 51 to 905 of the family's 1831-position model. The record is from RNAcentral. Lineage: Eukaryota; Metazoa; Nematoda; Chromadorea; Rhabditida; Aphelenchoididae.